Molecule: ribosomal RNA, 2907 nt
Filed under: Salmonella enterica
Lineage: Bacteria; Pseudomonadati; Pseudomonadota; Gammaproteobacteria; Enterobacterales; Enterobacteriaceae
Description: 23S ribosomal RNA
Rfam family: Bacterial large subunit ribosomal RNA
Source: RNAcentral
GGUUAAGCGACUAAGCGUACACGGUGGAUGCCCUGGCAGUCAGAGGCGAUGAAGGGCGUGCUAAUCUGCGAUAAGCGCCGGUAAGGUGAUAUGAACCGUUAUAACCGGCGAUACCCGAAUGGGGAAACCCAGUGUGAUUCGUCACACUAUCAUUAACUGAAUCCAUAGGUUAAUGAGGCGAACCGGGGGAACUGAAACAUCUAAGUACCCCGAGGAAAAGAAAUCAACCGAGAUUCCCCCAGUAGCGGCGAGCGAACGGGGAGGAGCCCAGAGCCUGAAUCAGCAUGUGUGUUAGUGGAAGCGUCUGGAAAGGCGCGCGAUACAGGGUGACAGCCCCGUACACAAAAGCGCAUGUGCUGUGAGCUCGAUGAGUAGGGCGGGACACGUGGUAUCCUGUCUGAAUAUGGGGGGACCAUCCUCCAAGGCUAAAUACUCCUGACUGACCGAUAGUGAACCAGUACCGUGAGGGAAAGGCGAAAAGAACCCCGGCGAGGGGAGUGAAAAAGAACCUGAAACCGUGUACGUACAAGCAGUGGGAGCACAGGUUUACCUGUGUGACUGCGUACCUUUUGUAUAAUGGGUCAGCGACUUAUAUUCUGUAGCAAGGUUAACCGAAUAGGGGAGCCGCAGGGAAACCGAGUCUUAAUUGGGCGUUAAGUUGCAGGGUAUAGACCCGAAACCCGGUGAUCUAGCCAUGGGCAGGUUGAAGGUUGGGUAACACUAACUGGAGGACCGAACCGACUAAUGUUGAAAAAUUAGCGGAUGACCUGUGGCUGGGGGUGAAAGGCCAAUCAAACCGGGAGAUAGCUGGUUCUCCCCGAAAGCUAUUUAGGUAGCGCCUCGUGAAUUCAUCUCCGGGGGUAGAGCACUGUUUCGGCUAGGGGGCCAUCCCGGCUUACCAACCCGAUGCAAACUGCGAAUACCGGAGAAUGUUAUCACGGGAGACACACGGCGGGUGCUAACGUCCGUCGUGAAGAGGGAAACAACCCAGACCGCCAGCUAAGGUCCCAAAGUCAUGGUUAAGUGGGAAACGAUGUGGGAAGGCCCAGACAGCCAGGAUGUUGGCUUAGAAGCAGCCAUCAUUUAAAGAAAGCGUAAUAGCUCACUGGUCGAGUCGGCCUGCGCGGAAGAUGUAACGGGGCUAAACCAUGCACCGAAGCUGCGGCAGCGACACUAUGUGUUGUUGGGUAGGGGAGCGUUCUGUAAGCCUGCGAAGGUGGCCUGUGAGGGUUGCUGGAGGUAUCAGAAGUGCGAAUGCUGACAUAAGUAACGAUAAAGCGGGUGAAAAGCCCGCUCGCCGGAAGACCAAGGGUUCCUGUCCAACGUUAAUCGGGGCAGGGUGAGUCGACCCCUAAGGCGAGGCCGAAAGGCGUAGUCGAUGGGAAACGGGUUAAUAUUCCCGUACUUGGUGUUACUGCGAAGGGGGGACGGAGAAGGCUAUGUUGGCCGGGCGACGGUUGUCCCGGUUUAAGCGUGUAGGUGUGUGUUCCAGGUAAAUCCGGUUCACUUUAACACUGAGGCGUGAUGACGAGGCACUACGGUGCUGAAGCAACAAAUGCCCUGCUUCCAGGAAAAGCCUCUAAGCAUCAGGUAACAUCAAAUCGUACCCCAAACCGACACAGGUGGUCAGGUAGAGAAUACCAAGGCGCUUGAGAGAACUCGGGUGAAGGAACUAGGCAAAAUGGUGCCGUAACUUCGGGAGAAGGCACGCUGACACGUAGGUGAAGUGAUUUACUCACGGAGCUGAAGUCAGUCGAAGAUACCAGCUGGCUGCAACUGUUUAUUAAAAACACAGCACUGUGCAAACACGAAAGUGGACGUAUACGGUGUGACGCCUGCCCGGUGCCGGAAGGUUAAUUGAUGGGGUCAGCGCAAGCGAAGCUCCUGAUCGAAGCCCCGGUAAACGGCGGCCGUAACUAUAACGGUCCUAAGGUAGCGAAAUUCCUUGUCGGGUAAGUUCCGACCUGCACGAAUGGCGUAAUGAUGGCCAGGCUGUCUCCACCCGAGACUCAGUGAAAUUGAACUCGCUGUGAAGAUGCAGUGUACCCGCGGCAAGACGGAAAGACCCCGUGAACCUUUACUAUAGCUUGACACUGAACAUUGAGCCUUGAUGUGUAGGAUAGGUGGGAGGCUUUGAAGUGUGGACGCCAGUCUGCAUGGAGCCGACCUUGAAAUACCACCCUUUAAUGUUUGAUGUUCUAACGUGGACCCGUAAUCCGGGUUGCGGACAGUGUCUGGUGGGUAGUUUGACUGGGGCGGUCUCCUCCUAAAGAGUAACGGAGGAGCACGAAGGUUGGCUAAUCCUGGUCGGACAUCAGGAGGUUAGUGCAAUGGCAUAAGCCAGCUUGACUGCGAGCGUGACGGCGCGAGCAGGUGCGAAAGCAGGUCAUAGUGAUCCGGUGGUUCUGAAUGGAAGGGCCAUCGCUCAACGGAUAAAAGGUACUCCGGGGAUAACAGGCUGAUACCGCCCAAGAGUUCAUAUCGACGGCGGUGUUUGGCACCUCGAUGUCGGCUCAUCACAUCCUGGGGCUGAAGUAGGUCCCAAGGGUAUGGCUGUUCGCCAUUUAAAGUGGUACGCGAGCUGGGUUUAGAACGUCGUGAGACAGUUCGGUCCCUAUCUGCCGUGGGCGCUGGAGAACUGAGGGGGGCUGCUCCUAGUACGAGAGGACCGGAGUGGACGCAUCACUGGUGUUCGGGUUGUCAUGCCAAUGGCACUGCCCGGUAGCUAAAUGCGGAAGAGAUAAGUGCUGAAAGCAUCUAAGCACGAAACUUGCCCCGAGAUGAGUUCUCCCUGAGACUUAGAGUCUCCUGAAGGAACGUUGAAGACGACGACGUUGAUAGGCCGGGUGUGUAAGCGCAGCGAUGCGUUGAGCUAACCGGUACUAAUGAACCGUGAGGCUUAACCUU